CUCUUUGUAUGCUAACGUCUACAUGAACUUAAGGAACUGCUGUAAACACAUUUUUCAAAGAAAGAAUUCUACAUGUUUGCAGAGGAGAACAUCUACCAAGAAGUUUCUGAACUGAGGAGGUAGGUCAGUUCAGAGGAAGGGCUUCCCAGGCACUCGUUGAAUACUUUUCAAAACCCAGACAAGAUAUCAGUCUGCUGUCUGAAAAGCGGGGAAGCACCAGUGCAACAGCAGAAAGGAAAUCUGAAAUGAAAGGAAAUCCCUGGAGGUACAGUAGACUGACCCAGCAAGUAUUUGGACAUGUGUAUCCGAUGGUCCCUACCUUGCUCCAGGACUCCCAGGACUGUCACGGCAGCCAGCAGGAAUGAGUUAUGAGGAAGUGGGAAAACCCAGCAGCGAGUGAACAUGUGAGAGGUAAGAGAGGGGAAUUGGGAGCUGAAUGGGGGCACAAAACUCAACAGCCCAGCAAUCCACUCCCCCUGGGGCAUCUGGUUUAAAACCACUCCUAACGAAGGCCAAGGCACGUCCCUCUUGCUGAUGUUGCAUGAGGAACCACAGCCCCGCUUGGGCUGUUCUGCACCUCUUGAGCAUCAGGACAGGCAGCGUUUCGUGGCACGUAUCACUGCGUGCACAGGCUCUGGAAAGCACGCGUUGGGCACAGAGCACGACUUCUGGCCAUGACACUGAGACAGCGUCGAAUAAAGCCCCCAAGUAAAAAACCCACUGCAACGGUAAGACAGGUUGUGAUAAAGUAUAAAAGGUACAGAUCUGUCUUGCACAGUGAUAAUUUAUAUGGGGAUGGGACCUGCGGAAUGACUGUCAGACACCAAGAGGGUUUCAGAGCCUGCCCUCGUACUGGAAAGGCUGGGAGCUGUGCAUUUAAGGCUUCUGAUCAAUCCUCAGCCGAAUUAACUCUCAUCGUAAACACCAGAGAGAGUUCUGUGUGGGUAAAAACCUGCAGAAUUCAUCAGGAUAUAGCAAAAAGGAAAAUUAUAUUUUCACGUGUCAGGGUAGACCCACUCGGCUAAUUCCUGUCUAAGAGCACAA
Long non-coding RNA from Aquila chrysaetos chrysaetos, 1044 nucleotides. RefSeq lists it as uncharacterized. The transcript is spliced from 2 exons. The record is from RefSeq and is a predicted model, not a curated record. Lineage: Eukaryota; Metazoa; Chordata; Aves; Accipitriformes; Accipitridae.